This 876-nucleotide ribosomal RNA is filed under the name uncultured crenarchaeote. RNAcentral's name for it is "bacterial SSU rRNA". It matches the Rfam family "Archaeal small subunit ribosomal RNA", at positions 21 to 903 of the family's 1478-position model. Lineage: Archaea; Thermoproteati; Thermoproteota. The record is from RNAcentral.
ACCUGACUGCUAUCGGAUUGAUACUAAGCCAUGCGGGUCAUUGUAGCAAUACAAGGCAUACGGCUCAGUAACGCGUAGUCAACCUAACCUAUGGACGGGAAUAACCUCGGGAAACUGAGAAUAAUGCCCGAUAGAACAUUAUGCCUGGAAUGGUUUAUGUUCCAAAUGAUUUAUCGCCAUAGGAUGGGACUGCGGCCUAUCAGUUUGUUGGUGAGGUAAUGGCCCACCAAGACUAUUACAGGUACGGGCUCUGAGAGGAGUAGCCCGGAGAUGGGUACUGAGACACGGACCCAGGCCCUAUGGGGCGCAGCAGGCGAGAAAACUUUGCAAUGUGCGAAAGCACGACAAGGUUAAUCCGAGUGAUUUCUGCUAAAGAGAUCUUUUGUUAGUCCUAGAAACACUAACGAAUAAGGGGUGGGCAAGUUCUGGUGUCAGCCGCCGCGGUAAAACCAGCACCUCAAGUGGUCAGGAUGAUUAUUGGGCCUAAAGCAUCCGUAGCCGGCUCUGUAAGUUUUCGGUUAAAUCUGUACGCUCAACGUACAGGCUGCCGGGAAUACUGCAGAACUAGGGAGUGGGAGAGGUAGACGGUACUCGGUAGGAAGUGGUAAAAUGCUUUGAUCUAUCGAUGACCACCUGUGGCGAAGGCGGUCUACCAGAACACGUCCGACGGUGAGGGAUGAAAGCUGGGGGAGCAAACCGGAUUAGAUACCCGGGUAGUCCCAGCUGUAAACUAUGCAAACUCAGUGAUGCAUUGGCUUGUGGCCAAUGCAGUGCUGCAGGGAAGCCGUUAAGUUUGCCGCCUGGGAAGUACGUACGCAAGUAUGAAACUUAAAGGAAUUGGCGGGGGAGCACCACAAGGGGUGAAGCCUGCGGUUC